GACGAACGCUGGCGGCGUGCUUAACACAUGCAAGUCGAACGCUGAAGCUCAGCUUUUGUUGGGUGGAUGAGUGGCGAACGGGUGAGUAACACGUGGGUAACCUGCCCCCUUCUUUGGGAUAACGCCCGGAAACGGGUGCUAAUACUGGAUAUUCACUGGUCUUCGCAUGGGGGUUGGUGGAAAGGGUUUUUCUGGUGGGGGAUGGGCUCGCGGCCUAUCAGCUUGUUGGUGGGGUGAUGGCCUACCAAGGCUUUGACGGGUAGCCGGCCUGAGAGGGUGACCGGUCACAUUGGGACUGAGAUACGGCCCAGACUCCUACGGGAGGCAGCAGUGGGGAAUAUUGCACAAUGGGCGCAAGCCUGAUGCAGCGACGCCGCGUGAGGGAUGGAGGCCGUCGGGUUGUGAACCUCUUUCGCUCAUGGUCAAGCCGCAACAAUGGUUGUGGUGAGGGUAGUGGGUAAAGAAGCGCCGGCUAACUACGUG
This 483-nucleotide ribosomal RNA is filed under the name uncultured bacterium. RNAcentral describes it as "partial 16S ribosomal RNA". It matches the Rfam family "Bacterial small subunit ribosomal RNA", at positions 28 to 507 of the family's 1533-position model. The record is from RNAcentral.